Molecule: unclassified non-coding RNA, 278 nt
Organism: Erinaceus europaeus (western European hedgehog)
Lineage: Eukaryota; Metazoa; Chordata; Mammalia; Eulipotyphla; Erinaceidae
Gene: 7SK
Rfam family: 7SK RNA
About the family: 7SK was discovered as an abundant small nuclear RNA in the mid-70s but a possible function has only recently been suggested. Two independent studies have found that 7SK RNA binds the CDK9/cyclin T complex (known as elongation factor P-TEFb). P-TEFb activates transcription by phosphorylating the C-terminal domain of RNA polymerase II.
Source: Ensembl
UGAUGGGAGGGCAAUGUCUGUACUAAAUAUCUGCCACCCCAUUGAUAGUCAGGAUGGAUUCGGCUGAUCUAGCUGACUAUGCAAGUGUCUCUUUCCUCCCUCACUGUCCCUACCAAAGCUGUACACUCAGUAAAAGAGAAUAACCUUCCCCAGAUAAGGACAGAUAGGUUAUACAGGUAGCUCUGCUACUCUACUAGAACUUCCAAACAGGCUCUCAGUUUCUCACAGUAAACAUUAUUUUUUUUAAAAUUUAUUUCUUUAUUGGGGAAUUAAUGUUU